RNAcentral lists this long non-coding RNA (1523 nucleotides) under Erythranthe guttata (spotted monkey flower). Its description in RNAcentral is "long non-coding RNA (EGUT_LNC002634)". The record is from RNAcentral. Lineage: Eukaryota; Viridiplantae; Streptophyta; Magnoliopsida; Lamiales; Phrymaceae.
UCGUGCGCCUCAAUAUUUUCGACCAUAUUUCCAAGCGGAACCCUUCUUCAAUUUCAAGACUGCCGUCUCUCCUAGAUUUCAAUCGGUUGGUGUUCCUAUUGCUCGGCUUUUCUCUUAUUUUCGAGCUAUAGCAGGUAUGUCUUGCGCAAGAAAAAUCUAUCUAUUGUCGGUGCCACGAAGGCUCGAAUCAAUGCUUAAAGAUUAUCAUCUCUCUUCAGUCUUCGCAAUCGAUGCGCCAUAGAUAUCUUUCUGAACGUAUAAUUGUCAAUUUCGAGAUUCUUUUGGAUUCUAAUUUAUUUGCAAAAAGCCCUAAAUUUACUCAAUUAUUCGCUACUGAUUUACCCAAUCUUUUGUUGAAUGGUAUUGGUUGUUUAUAUGUUUUCUAAAUUACAAUGCUUCAAAUUUGUUUAAGAAUUUAUAACAUUAUUAUAUUGGGGCACAUUUAUCAGACUCUUGUUUAUCGUUUUUGUUUGCAACAAACUGUUUUUUACCCUUUAGCUUUUAUUGAUUAUUUUAUGCAACUUUACUUAUAUAUUGUUAUAUAAAAUUAAUGUAUAAAUACGUUUUUGCAGGUUCUUAUUUGUGCACUAGUAGACAGAGUUCUAUGCCUGACUAUACAUAAUGGAUUUUAUCACGAAGCACAGAUACUAUGUUUUCAUAUAUCUUUCCUAAUAACUUGUGAAUGCAUAUAGUUUUUUUGUUCUCAAUUGAUUUUUUGCACCAUGUAAUUCAUUCUAGAUAUUGUGUUUUCUUUAAAUUUUAGCAUGAAUGCCAAAAACAAAUUGCCUUAUACAAAUUCUCAUUCAUAAAACUAGAUAACAGAGAUGUUAGACAUGAGUAUAGUACAUUCCAUUUUUUUUUCAUGUGUUGAAUAAACUCUCUUUCUGUACUUGCUUUUUUUUUUCUUUUUUUUUUCUAUACAGAUAGAAUUUACUGAUAACAUAUAUUUUUUUAUGUAUUCAGGUAUUAGAUGGAACAUAUUAACGGAAGAUUCGGUACUUUCGAUGAUUCAAAUGGUAGGUAAUAUCUAUAAAAGUUCUUUUAUGCAUUAUCACUUAUUUUCUUGUUGUACAAAAUUUUUGGUACAAAUGAACAACUAUUAGAUGUUUGAUGCAAUAUUGAGGCUGACGAGUCUCCAUCCAUAUGACUGGUAUGAAAUUGAUCAUGAACGUAGGUUGUACGAUAUUUUAACGUGGAGAAAAUAGUUUUAUAGCCGGUCGCUCUUCUUUGUUCACUGAAAUAACUUAUUUUUAGUUUUCUUUUAAUUUUAACAGGUGAAGGUCAAGAAUGGUGAAUAGCUACAUAUAUGAGUUUGAGAUGCAAUGCUCUCAUGUAGUCACAGACAUUUUAUUGUACUCCAUACUUUUUUUUGAGAAUCUACUUUGAAUAGUACUAGAAGAUAGCUAGUAUAUUUGUAGACUUACAUGAAUUGGAUUCAAAUAUUAAUGAAAAGUAUUUAUUCUGUAAUCUACCUUUUCUUGUACUUGUUUUGUAUUUUUCAGGGAUAACUCUUUAAAUAUUAG